Molecule: ribosomal RNA, 489 nt
Filed under: Halobacillus sp. Mor1
Lineage: Bacteria; Bacillati; Bacillota; Bacilli; Caryophanales; Bacillaceae
Description: bacterial SSU rRNA
Rfam family: Bacterial small subunit ribosomal RNA
Source: RNAcentral
AACGCGGCGGCGUGCCUAAUACAUGCAAGUCGAGCGCGGGAAGCGAGYGGAUCCCUUCGGGGUGAAGCUCGUGGAACGAGCGGCGGACGGGUGAGUAACACGUGGGCAACCUGCCUGUAAGACCGGAAUAACCCCGGGAAACCGGGGCUAAUGCCGGGUAAUACUUUUCUUCGCAUGAAGGAAAGUUGAAAGAUGGCUUCUCGCUAUCACUUACAGAUGGGCCCGCGGCGCAUUAGCUAGUUGGUGAGGUAACGGCUCACCAAGGCGACGAUGCGUAGCCGACCUGAGAGGGUGAUCGGCCACACUGGGACUGAGACACGGCCCAGACUCCUACGGGAGGCAGCAGUAGGGAAUCUUCCGCAAUGGACGAAAGUCUGACGGAGCAACGCCGCGUGAACGAUGAAGGUCUUCGGAUCGUAAAGUUCUGUUGUUAGGGAAGAACAAGUACCGUGCGAAUAGAGCGGUACCUUGACGGUACCUAACGAGGAA